CUCCAGACUCCUACGGGAGGCAGCAGUGAGGAAUAUUGGUCAAUGGCCGCAGGGCUGAACCAGCCAAGUCGCGUGAGGGAUGACGGUCCUAUGGAUUGUAAACCUCUUUUGUCAGGGAGCAAAGGGCGCCACGUGUGGCGCUUUGCGAGUACCUGAAGAAAAAGCAUCGGCUAACUCCGUGCCAGCAGCCGCGGUAAUACGGAGGAUGCGAGCGUUAUCCGGAUUUAUUGGGUUUAAAGGGUGCGCAGGCGGAAUGUCAAGUCAGCGGUAAAAUUUCGGGGCUCAACCCCGUCGUGCCGUUGAAACUGGAGACCUUGAGUGCGCGGAAGGCAGGCGGAAUUCGUGGUGUAGCGGUGAAAUGCUUAGAUAUCACGAAGAACCCCGAUUGCGAAGGCAGCCUGCCGCAGCGUUACUGACGCUGAAGCUCGAAAGCGCGGGUAUCGAACAGGAUUAGAUACCCCGGUAU
RNAcentral lists this ribosomal RNA (466 nucleotides) under uncultured bacterium. Its description in RNAcentral is "bacterial SSU rRNA". It matches the Rfam family "Bacterial small subunit ribosomal RNA", at positions 329 to 793 of the family's 1533-position model. The record is from RNAcentral.